RNAcentral lists this small RNA (723 nucleotides) under Ascomycota sp. B3_2_3_SC3. RNAcentral describes it as "eukaryotic LSU rRNA". The stretch from base 469 to 723 matches the Rfam family "Eukaryotic large subunit ribosomal RNA", at positions 1 to 259 of the family's 3401-position model. Lineage: Eukaryota; Fungi; Ascomycota. The record is from RNAcentral.
GCUCCUUUCCAUUUUCUCUUGCUUCGGUGAUCGCCUGCUGGGGAGGCCACCGGCCGGGCGUCAUGCCUGGUGGUUGCCGAAGCAUACCACUAUAAACUUUUUACUUUGCAAUGUAUCUUCUGAGAACUUUCUACAAAAGAACAAUCACAACUCACAACAAUGGAUCUCUUGGCUCUGGCAUCGAUGAAGAACGCAGCGAAAUGCGAUAAAUAAUAUGAAUUGCAGAAUUCAGCGAAUCAUCGAGUUUUUGAACGCACAUUGCGCCCUCUGGUAUUCCGGAGGGCACGUCCGACCGAGCGUCGCGUCACCGCUCAGGCUCUGCCUGGUGAUGGGGCAUGCGGGCAACCGCAGCUCCCAAAUGCAGUGGCGGUUCCCAUCGGGUUCCCUUGCGCAGUAGAAGCAACUCGCYGUCGCCUCGGAGUCCCGCGUGGGCGGCCUGCCGUAAAACACCCAACGUCUUCCACUGGUUGACCUCGGGUCGGACGAGAUUACCCGCUGAACUUAAGCAUAUCAAUAAGCGGAGGAAAAGAAACCAACAGGGAUUGCCUCAGUAACGGCGAGUGAAGCGGCAACAGCCCAGAUUUGAAAUCUGGCCUUCGGGCCCGAGUUGUAAUCUGCAGAUGAGUCUUCCGGCAAAGCGCCGUCCAAGUGCCCUGGAACGGGCCGCCGGAGAGGGUGAGAGCCCCGUACCGACGUGCGCCGCGCCUCUGUGAAGCUCAUUCG